CAGUGCCGUUGAUACUGUAGGGCUAGGAUUUGGUUGCUGUGGGUGGAAUGUGUGGUGUAGCGGUGAAAUGCUUAGAUAUCACACAGAAUAUCGAUUGCGAAGGCGGGUAACUGGACUGCAACUGACGCUGAGGCGCGAAAGUGUGGGGAGCAAACAGGAUUAGAUACCCUGGUAGUCCACACGGUAAACGAUGAAUGCUAGGUGUAGGAGGUAUCGACCCCUUCUGUGCCGCAGUUAACACAAUAAGCAUUCCGCCUGGGGAGUACGGUCGCAAGAUUAAAACUCAAAGGAAUUGACGGGGGCCCGCACAAGCAGCGGAGCAUGUGGUUUAAUUCGACGCAACGCGAAGAACCUUACCAGGUCUUGACAUCCAGUUAAAGCUGUUGAAAGAUAGUGUCCCUUCGGGGGAACUGAGACAGGUGGUGCAUGGUUGUCGUCAGCUCGUGUCGUGAGAUGUUGGGUAAAGUCCCGCAACGAGCGCAACCCUUGUCAUUAGUUGCCAUCAUUUAGUUGGGCACUCUAAUGAGACUGCCGGGGACAACUCGGAGGAGGGUGGGGAUGACGUCAAAUCAUCAUGCCCCUUAUGUUCUGGGCUACACACGUGCUACAAUGGCCGGUACAGAGAGACGCAAUGUCGCGAGGCGGAGCAAAACUCUAAAACCGGUCCCAGUUCGGAUUGCAGGCUGCGCUCGC
RNAcentral lists this ribosomal RNA (693 nucleotides) under uncultured bacterium. RNAcentral describes it as "bacterial SSU rRNA". It matches the Rfam family "Bacterial small subunit ribosomal RNA", at positions 619 to 1315 of the family's 1533-position model. The record is from RNAcentral.